AACGGUUUAAAUGUUGUUUAAUGGAAAAGAUACAACUGAAUCAUUAGUUUCAUCAGAUCAUCGUAUUUAUAUAUAGUAACAAAUACUGUAUUCCAUCACCGCCACCACUAGCACGCAAAAUUAUGCCUUGUGCUGUAUCAGACUUCCAAAUUAUGCCACCCGGCCGCUGGACACUGCCCCUCCCUCAGCGGCGGCGAGACGCCCUCCAUCGUCUUCCCCACGCGCCACGCGGCCAUGGCUGCCGGUGAUGGAGCCUCAUCGACGCCCCGACCGGUGACUCCAUGGCCAAAUCCAGUGCUACCGCGGCCGGAUGUGUCGCUCCCCCACUAGAUCUGUCUGGGUAAUGGCUCUCUGGUUGCAACUUGCAGGAACAAACUGGCGACUGGGUGGGCGGCGUUGUGCUGCUGCUAUCCGUGGAGCAUCGGAGGGGCGCCCAGACCACAGCAGCGGAGCAGCCGACGCCAAGAUAGCACGUAUCAAGCCAGCCGCAGCACCAGGCAGCUGCAGACGGGAGGAAACUGGGCAGGCCACCAAGAUAUAGCAGGCGGAGCAGCAGAAGGGAUAGGCAAGAAAGGGGGGAAGGAUGUUCCAGUGGCUCCAAGUUGAAACGUCGAUCUGAAGUGUCCUAAUAUGCCCAAUCUAUUCCAUGUAUGCCCAAUAUUACUUUGACAAUUUGAAUGAAUAGAGCAGACAACUGCAGCCAAAUCUGUUUUAUUCUUCUGGCCAGCUUGGAACUUCAAGUGCUGUACACAUGGUGACAUGGAUAAGCAUCAUUGGCAUAAAGCGACCUCAUAAAAUUGAGAUGCAAGAACAAAGAUGCAAUAUUCUUUCUGGUGCUGGAUGGAAUGAUGUAUGGAGUGAUCAACCUAACAAUACAAGCAAAGUUCUGAUGGCCAGAUUGCCUAGGCCAAUGAAAUCAGCCUUUCAUUGUCUAGACUUUCUUCGCCCAUCCGAUUGUAUUUUUGCUGCUCAGGAAUAUCACAAAUAAACAAAAACUUUAUAGGGUAUCAGAAUCUCACUUCCAAUUCGAUGCCAAAGAAGAGCAGGCUGGGCAGUGAAUGGACAGAUUGAUGGACCUAGAACCAAGAAAGCCAAUAGAUGGCAACUAUUGCAGUUGUGGACCUAGCAGAUGAAAGGUGGCCUCGACGAAUUUGUACAAAUGGCAGUGGCAAUAUAACAAAUGUUGUAUUGAAUUGUACCGUUAUUUUGUAGAUAAAGUAACAAUAACCACCAUGGCUAUUGAGCAGCCAUUUCAUAUCAGUAUAUGCAUUAUUUG
RNA transcript from Panicum hallii, 1276 nucleotides. RefSeq lists it as uncharacterized. The record is from RefSeq and is a predicted model, not a curated record. NCBI's taxonomy places the organism in Eukaryota, Viridiplantae, Streptophyta, Magnoliopsida, Poales, Poaceae. The transcript is spliced from 6 exons.